This 254-nucleotide ribosomal RNA is filed under the name uncultured bacterium. RNAcentral describes it as "partial 16S ribosomal RNA". It matches the Rfam family "Bacterial small subunit ribosomal RNA", at positions 524 to 776 of the family's 1533-position model. The record is from RNAcentral.
UACGUAGGGUGCGAGCGUUGUCCGGAAUUAUUGGGCGUAAAGAGCUCGUAGGCGGUGUGUCACGUCGGCCGUGAAAACCUGCAGCUUAACUGUGGGCGUGCGGUCGAUACGGGCAUCACUGGAGUUCGGCAGGGGAGACUGGAAUUCCUGGUGUAGCGGUGAAAUGCGUAGAUAUCAGGAGGAACACCGGUGGCGAAGGCGCUCAUCUGGCCCAAUACUGACGCUGAGGCGCGAAAGCUAGGGGAGCAAACGGG